This 204-nucleotide long non-coding RNA is filed under the name Ictidomys tridecemlineatus (thirteen-lined ground squirrel). RNAcentral describes it as "lncRNA (ENSSTOG00000034475.1)". Lineage: Eukaryota; Metazoa; Chordata; Mammalia; Rodentia; Sciuridae. The record is from RNAcentral.
CGCCACGACCCAGGGCUGGCCCUCCUGUGGCCUGAUGAAGGUGUUCUGCCAGGGCAGUGAGCAGGAAGUGAAGUCUCACCUCAUUGUCCUGCGGGGUGGGGAAGUUAGAGCGGUGUGUGACAGGCCUUGAUAGAGAGGAAGAGACCUAGACCUCAAGGCCACCAGGACUUCUGAAGACCAAGCAGUGACAUGAAAGGCAACCUU